ACCACGAUCUCUUCCGGUGCGAUGAAAAAAACUUCGGCGAAUGUACGUGUGGCAUCUGGCGCUGACAUGACCAACUCUCUCUGUAUAUCCUCAACAGUUUCUUUAUUUCGCAAAAAUUCCGUGGAGAAAACAUAUUUGUCCAUGUUUGAAGUCUUGCCUUGCGAUGGGAUGAAUCAUUUUCUGGAGCGAUGAGAUGGAAUUGGGACCUUCAUAGCAUCCAACAAACAAGGAUUUCUGUGAGGCAUUGGGCUUUCCACAUUGCAGACCUCUGUAUCACCAUGGACCUAUUCGUAAUAGGUCCAUGGUAUCACCAACUUAAAUGAGCCUCCACCUGUCCACCAUGAUCUCCCCCAAGCUUAAUCCACACCUCAUAUUCAGGAAUUGCCCCAUCGUGAGUUGUGAGAAAUCCAUUCCUGUGGAAAGAUGAUGGAACAUGAAUAUAUGGUCUGUGACUCUGCUAUGUACCUAGCGAAUCACUGUCGACUAUCCAUGGUUCAAGUGAGGAUUGGCCAACCUGGUCAUUUCUUAAUUACCUACAGACUGUAACUGCACCGUGCAAAGUCUUAUGCAGGAAUGGGGCUACAGCAGUGAUGGAGACACCACAUUCGACUGGGCAGAUCAGACGAUGCAAUACCUUUGGUCUGCCCCCCCCCCCUCCGAGGAGCCAUGCACUGCCAGAGAUCUUGAGCCAGGUCUUCACUGGUCAAGACUUCAGUGGUUAUCCAUGGAUAAGAUGAGGUAUCUCGUUGAUUUCGGCAUGACCAUCUUCCUGAAGCUUCUUCCUAACGAUGAAACUGGAGGCUCUUUCCACGGAUCUUAGAAUAUGUACAAUAUAUUGUAUAGCUGGUUCGAGUGUGAUUCCAGCUUUUUUAAGAGCUUCUUGACGUUUAACUUCUACUGGCCUUUAUUGUUGUUAACAUCUCCUGUGAAUGUUUAUAGGAGGCCAGUAUUGCCAAAAAACACAGUAAACCUCGAGUUCACAUAUAGUUAAAAAACAGGAACUACUUGUAACAUUAUUUAAUGUUCUUGCUACAAAUUGGACAUGGUGAAACUUUACAUUCAUUAUAUCUUAAGUAUUUACUGAGGUACUCACUACAAAAGGAAGUUGGGGUCAAAAGGUCAAGUUUUUGUUCAACUUGGUCACAUUUCUUUAUUUCUGCAUCAAUUAUGUUCACACAUCUGAUCAUUGGGUAAUACUACAUGUACGUACGUUAGGAUAAUGAAAAUUGCUUAGUCGGGAAAAGUGGCUUAUUGGAUCCUCUAUCUUUUGCUUAUAAUUAUUUUUUUUCAAAUUAAAUAUUUCUCCAUCAAAUCUGACAAAUUCAUUAUUUUUAUAUCAGUAAUUAUUAAACAACGUCAGUAAUAAGAGUUUUGAUAAACAUGUGCAAGUAUAUGUACCACCAUCAAUGUGCAGAGUAUUUGCUGGAAGUGUACAUGCUACAGAGAAAUUUUAAUGUGUGCAACCGUAGGAUACGGGAAAAAAUGCUUGCAGUCUUUGAUGUACUUUUGAAGAUCAAGAUAGAAUUCACCCAAAACAUCUACCGGGUGUUAGUACUUAGUAUGCCGAAAAUAUCCAAGAUAAGUUCAGCACCAUUCAUCUGGAAGAAGAGACGAGUCAAAGCAUUUUAAACAAUUUUAAAAAUUGCCUGCGCUAUAUUUGUCUGAAUUGAUAUGCAGUUAGAAUUGAUCAAUUUCUGAAUGCAAGCUGACAAAUUUAUUUAGGAGGGUAUUAACAUGAAUGUAUUUUUAGUACAAGUGAGACGUCUCUGGUAGUCUUGCCUGCAUUAUUAUGCAAUUCAAUAUGGUCGCAUUUCAGAAGUUCGGUAUGGAAAUGGGUGGAUGAUGAACAAAGUAUUUGUCGAGUUAAAUGCCACUAAUUGAAUAAGAUUAAAUUCAAUUAUAAAAACCGACUUCUGGAAUGUCCCUCUACAGUUAUUAUUCAUGACAUGUCUAAUUAUACUCGACUAGUAGGAAAAUGUCAGCCAAUGUGAUAUACAUUAAACUUUUAUUUUUUUUUAGUUCCAAUAAUUUAGAUAUAUUUCACUUCAAACUUAUUCAAAGACUACAGGCAUCACUUUUUCAAUUUGAAGUAUAUUGAUAAAGAAGUUAUAGCAUGUAGGUAUUAUAGUAGGUUAAAAAACAACUUAAAUGUGUAUUAUAAUGGCAAUGUAUUAUAUUGUGUCAUAAUAUGAGUUAUGACUAAGGUUUACAUUUCUAGUCAGUUAAAAUGCAAAGAACAACUAGAUUAAGAUCAUUUUUACAAAUUCAACAAUUUUGAAAAUAUACAGGAAUGAGCUACAUGUGCAUGUUAUAUCCAAAAUAAUCAAUUACCAGUAGUCACUUAUCUGAUUUGUAAAUGAUAUUUAUAGUAUUUUUAAGUCUUGUAUCAUUGCAAAAAAACUUUUAUCCACGGUGUACUGAAUUUGCCGGGCAUGUGAGGGUGACAGUCAUUUUUCAGUUUUUUUUUUAAACAUUGUUAAAAUUAAAUGUACACUGUAAUAGACAUGUAAUAGAUAACCAAUUUGUGUGGCUGUGUGAGUGGUAAAUCACAUGAAAUCUGCAAAUAUUAUAUUUAUUUUCAAAUG
Lytechinus pictus (painted urchin) is the source of this 2585-nucleotide long non-coding RNA. RefSeq lists it as uncharacterized. The record is from RefSeq and is a predicted model, not a curated record. Lineage: Eukaryota; Metazoa; Echinodermata; Echinoidea; Temnopleuroida; Toxopneustidae. The transcript is spliced from 4 exons.